This 1965-nucleotide long non-coding RNA is filed under the name Malus domestica (apple). RNAcentral's name for it is "long non-coding RNA (MDOM_LNC004802)". The record is from RNAcentral. Lineage: Eukaryota; Viridiplantae; Streptophyta; Magnoliopsida; Rosales; Rosaceae.
AACUGCAGGUCUAUUCAUGAGGUGACUUAAUUUUUGUGAAGGUUUGGAAGAAAUGGAGAAGGUUGUUGGGCCUUGUGCCGCUGCUUUCUUUUCUUGAAACUAUUACACCUUUUGUAGUCACUUUGACCAUCUUAAGCGAGAGGUUUGAUUAGGCCUAACCAUUUUUGACACUAGUUGUUAAUUUGACACGAAAUGAUACGAAGAUAACAGAUUUUUUUAUUGAUACGACAACCAAUCAAAUAGUUAUCGGUUAAUUUGAUAAAUACAUGUUAAGAUAACGGGUCAGUCCAAAUAUACACAUGAGUAACCCGUUACACCAUAAGAAGAAUAUAUUAAUUUAAUUGUAUACCACUGGAAAAAAAAAACUAUAAUUAACAGUAGUAGGAUUUAAUCUCGAACCGAACUGAAAGUUAAAAUAUAAAUAAAUAAAUAUAUUAUAUAUAUAUAAAUUAAAUUUAGAAAAUUAAUGAUUGUUGGAUUGGCUGAGAUUUUAAUCUCGGCCGUCCAAUGUUUUUCUCAGCCAUAAAUCAAACUCUUCUUCAUUUUGUAUAUCCUUGCAUAUUUGAUAUUUUGUAGUAAUGUAUUGAUGCCUUUUUACUAAUGACAAAUGUGUUUUGAAGUAAUAUUUAUGUGGCAAUGUGUUAUGUAAAUUUAUUAAAAAAAAAAAUUUCUUAACAUAAUAGGAGAACUAUCAUUAAUAGCCAAAGUUUAACAUCCAAUUUCAUAAAUAUCACUUUUUACAAAAACUUUCAAAUUUAGCAAACAAACUCACUUGAAUAGUCCUAAAUGCUCUCAAAAUCCAAAACCCAUUUACAUAGAAAAGUCAAACACUUGAAUAGAUCUCAUCUACAUCUUUGGAUUUAGAAUUCUCAUUAGCAUCUGAAUUUCAUUUGACUUUAUGAAAUCCAUUGCAAUCAAUCUGAUGUACGAAUAUCAUGAGCAAAUUCUUUUGCGUGAUUUCAGUUCAGAGAAGGAGCGAAAGCUAAAAUUUGAAGAUUGCUUUCAUGCAAAAAAUCAUGUUUUCUGUAACAAAAGAGUUGGCAAUGCUGAGCCUCAAAGAUUUACACAAAAAAUACCAAGUGUCAAAUUGUAAUGCCAAAACUAGUGUUUUCUCUCCUGUGAAAGCCUCUCUCUCCGUUUCGUGAGAGUUUUUCUCGCUGCUUGUGUGAGCUUUCAAAUUUCGUCAAGUAGUUUAGCUGCCGGCCCUUGCCUGGGCAAUUUUCUUUCUUGUUUUCCUUUCCUUCUGUCUUUGUCUGCCUGCUUUUCCCCAUGUUUUCCAGCCCAAUUUUCUUCGUUCCCCAAAUCUCCUUGCCUUUGAUUUAACCACUCCUAGCCCAAGCUCGGAAAUUCCCAGUUCUCAUCCCUCAGUUCUACAACUAUCCCGAUCUGCAACCACCUCUUUCCGUAGCAUUUUGCGACUUUAUUGGAGGGUGUGUAGAGCUCCAGCUCAGGUGACCACACCACCACCUUCCUUGUGUUUGCCGUUCUCGGCUCCGUUGCCUGUGGUAUGUACUUUUCCACUGGCUUCCUUUGUUUGGUGGUUUCAAUCUUUGUUGUGGUUGCUUAUGGAUGUUGAAGUUUGCUUAUUUUCCGAUUUUGCGGCUUGGAGUGGCUUGAUCUCCGGCGUCUUCUGAAGGUGUUGGCCGGUGCCGGGUUGGAGGUUGCUUGGUUCAAGAUGCUCCGACGGCGACUAGGGUAGUAGGCUGCUAGGUUUUUGUUUUUUAUUUUGUUGUUUUGGGCUCUAACUCUUGUUUUGGGUUGGGCUUUCUUUGUUGUGUGUAGGCAUGGCAAUUCCUGAUACAACCCGACACGACAUGACACGAAAUUAACAGGUGUUUGGGUUAACACGAUAACGAAUCGGAUCGUUAUGGAGUAACCGAUAAGUACCUAUUAAGAUAACGGGUUGAUUUGGGUAUACACGUGGAUAACACGAUACACGAAAUUAAUUUUAUAAUUUUAUAACCC